This 253-nucleotide ribosomal RNA is filed under the name uncultured bacterium. Its description in RNAcentral is "partial 16S ribosomal RNA". It matches the Rfam family "Bacterial small subunit ribosomal RNA", at positions 524 to 776 of the family's 1533-position model. The record is from RNAcentral.
UACGUAAGUGGCGAGCGUUAUCCGGAAUCACUGGGCGUAAAGCGUUCGUAGGCGGCGCAGUAAGUUGGAAUUGAAAUCCCAGGGCUUAACUCUGGACCCGGUUCCAAAACUGCUGUGCUUGAGCGUAUCAGAGGGUAGUGGAAUUCCCGGUGUAGCGGUAAUAUGCGUAGAUAUCGGGAGGAACACCAGUGGCGAAGGCGGCUACCUGGGAUAUUGCUGACGCUGAGGAACGAAAGCCAGGGGAGCGAACGGG